Eucalyptus grandis is the source of this 382-nucleotide long non-coding RNA. RefSeq lists it as uncharacterized. The record is from RefSeq and is a predicted model, not a curated record. Lineage: Eukaryota; Viridiplantae; Streptophyta; Magnoliopsida; Myrtales; Myrtaceae. The transcript is spliced from 3 exons.
AUGACUUGAAGAGGACGAAUAAGUGCACGUUGCUCUUGAAAGCUUCUUGAUCCACGACAACAAAUUGUUUCCUUGAGUUCAAACUUUAAACAAAUUGAGGAAAGGUGUGCUUCUUAGUGGAUUUACAAAGGUCAUGGAGAAGUUAUAAAAUGGAGAAAGACGAAUUUCACUUGUGCAGUGGCAUUAAAAGUUGGUGCAGCAAAAUUUUCAUCCAUUACAGGAGAAGAGAACUACCUAGCUCCUCCAAGCUUUGGCUCAUUGGGCAGCUAUACAAAUGAAGACCAAAUAAAUGAAAAUGAAUAUGGCUUUUAAUGUCAACGAAAUUCCCUUUCACAAUCUUGGGAUGGUGAACUGUGCAUUCAUCUGUGGAGAGACAGAAACU